RNAcentral lists this ribosomal RNA (449 nucleotides) under uncultured bacterium. RNAcentral describes it as "partial 16S ribosomal RNA". It matches the Rfam family "Bacterial small subunit ribosomal RNA", at positions 29 to 523 of the family's 1533-position model. The record is from RNAcentral.
AGCGAACGCUGGCGGCAGGCCUAACACAUGCAAGUCGAACGAAGUCUUCGGACUUAGUGGCGGACGGGUGAGUAACACGUGGGAACGUGCCUUUAGGUUCGGAAUAACUCAGGGAAACUUGUGCUAAUACCGAAUGUGCCCUUCGGGGGAAAGAUUUAUCGCCUUCAGAGCGGCCCGCGUCUGAUUAGCUAGUUGGUGAGGUAAAGGCUCACCAAGGCGACGAUCAGUAGCUGGUCUGAGAGGAUGAUCAGCCACAUUGGGACUGAGACACGGCCCAAACUCCUACGGGAGGCAGCAGUGGGGAAUCUUGCGCAAUGGGCGAAAGCCUGACGCAGCCAUGCCGCGUGAAUGAUGAAGGUCUUAGGAUUGUGAAAUUCUUUCACCGGGGACGAUAAUGACGGUACCCGGAGAAGAAGCCCCGGCUAACUUCGUGCCAGCAGCCGCCGUAA